UCCAAACACGUGAUCAUGAGAUAAAAUAAUCUACCAAUGAGACAUCUACACUGUUUGGGAUCAUCACAAAGUUGUCUUGAAUCAAGAUCAAGUUUAUGUUGUUGAUUCAUGGGUGAGGAAAUCAGUUUGUAACUCGAUGCUCCCCUUAUUUGGUAAAGCCCUAAGGAAUCUUCAUGUAGACUUCUUUCUUCAAGAUUACCAUGAAAAAAAAAAGCUAUUGACAUUUAACUUAUGGAGUUCCCAAUUGCACACUAAAGAACAAUAAUAAGGCAUUACGUUGUAACCAUUUUGGCCACCGGGGUACAUCUCUCUCAUGCAAGGCCUUUAAGUGCGCGAGUGUUUUAAUCAAGACCCUUUAAUGUGCAAUUGAUCAGUUUGGGGUCUUGAUGUGCGCAGUACUCCAAUACGAGGCUGUUUGGGGCCCGUCCAUUGUGUGCGUGGCCUCGUUGGGUGUGAAUUAGGUGUGCACGACCCACUAGUGC
Molecule: long non-coding RNA, 482 nt
Filed under: Theobroma cacao (cacao)
Lineage: Eukaryota; Viridiplantae; Streptophyta; Magnoliopsida; Malvales; Malvaceae
Description: long non-coding RNA (TCAC_LNC001362)
Source: RNAcentral